RNAcentral lists this ribosomal RNA (397 nucleotides) under uncultured bacterium. RNAcentral describes it as "partial 16S ribosomal RNA". It matches the Rfam family "Bacterial small subunit ribosomal RNA", at positions 523 to 918 of the family's 1533-position model. The record is from RNAcentral.
AUACGUAGGUGGCAAGCGUUGUCCGGAAUUAUUGGGCGUAAAGCGCGCGCAGGUGGUUCCUUAAGUCUGAUGUGAAAGCCCCCGGCUCAACCGGGGAGGGUCAUUGGAAACUGGGGAACUUGAGUGCAGAAGAGGAUAGUGGAAUUCCAAGUGUAGCGGUGAAAUGCGUAGAGAUUUGGAGGAACACCAGUGGCGAAGGCGACUGUCUGGUCUGUAACUGACACUGAUGCGCGAAAGCGUGGGGAGCAAACAGGAUUAGAUACCCUGGUAGUCCACGCCGUAAACGAUGAGUGCUAAGUGUUGGGGGGUUUCCGCCCCUCAGUGCUGCAGCUAACGCAUUAAGCACUCCGCCUGGGGAGUACGGUCGCAAGACUGAAACUCAAAGGAAUUGACGGGG